Equus caballus (horse) is the source of this 1882-nucleotide long non-coding RNA. The record is from Ensembl. NCBI's taxonomy places the organism in Eukaryota, Metazoa, Chordata, Mammalia, Perissodactyla, Equidae.
AGGGUAACUCACAGCAUUGAUGGAAAAGCUGAAGAACCGAGCUUGUGAGAGGCCAGAAACCCGAGCAGCCAUAGGACAGGCUCUUCAAAACCCCUGUUCUUCAGGCAUUUCAGGCUUUCAGCCCCCCUAGUCAAAUCCAAACACGGGGAAGGGGCUUCUAAUCGAUUUGGCUUGGGAGAGGCAGGGCCCUUUGAUCGGCAGUUCCACCAAACAAAACCAAGAAGCUGUCCCAGAAGAGAGACUGGAGGCAGAACAGGUGACCAGCAUCAUCUUAUUUUACAUCCUGUUAGCGCUUGCCUUCAAGGAGCCUCACCCAGUGGGAGAGGCAGACCUGCAGGUGUAAAAUUGCACUAGUGGAUGAAAAGUGAAACUAACACACAGCAUGGGGGCAGUCAGACGUGUGCUUAGUGGCGCUUCAAUAAGAUUUUUAAGAGGGAAAGUCUCUGAGCACCUGCUCUGGACGGGACGCAGGUGAGACUCUCUGGGCUCUGUCCAGGUGAGGGGGCAGGGCUGGGCUCGGCAGGGAAGGGGCUCCUGUGGGGUGAGAGCCUUGCUUCGCGCUCACUCACUCAUCCCCAGGCUUGUUUACACUCAGCCUGGUAGGGGAACUGAGGUCAGCGCUGUGGUUCUCACUUCAAAGUCUGAGAUAAUCUGUAAAUCGUUUUCUCCUGGUUUCCUUUCGCAGCAGAAGCAGCUUAUUAAAAAAAGUUUAUUUUUGCAAGAGAGGUGGCUCAAAGCUUGAUAAUUGAUUUUGUUUUGUUUAAAAGUUUUUAAAAGUUUUGUUUUAAAACUGUUAGAACUGUAGACGGGACCACAUGCCACCCCAGGGCUGCAGACCGUGGAAGAGGCUGCAAGUUGUAUCAGCGGGGUCUGGUGGCAAUAAGCGUUGUGAAAUCAAGGAGAAAAGUGGGGCAGAGGAGAGGAGGAAAGAAAGAAAGAAAGUGAAAGGGCAAGAAAAGGAAGGAGGGAGGGCAGAUGACUCUCAACCAACACUCACAGGGCGUUUCUAUCCGGCUGAUGCACCUCCCCAGCCUGGGCUAGGCUGGGCUGUCCUCAGGUCCCCAGGACUCCCACUGCCAUUCGGAAGGCUGGCUCUUGUUGGAGUCCUCCGCAUCUCUGCUCAAGCUCACAGGAAACUGGGCCCUGGAGGGAGAGCAGCACACAGAGACGGCUAGGAGAUCCUGCAGUUCCGCACAGCACCCCAGGACUUGGAGCUGGCGCCCACGGAGGGAGUCCCGGGAAGCUGCUGCCCAAUGUAGUUGGUGGCUGCUCUGCUCCCAGUUGUGGGACAUACUUCAGAACUCACCUCCGAAUUUCCACCCCUCAUACUAGGGCCCAGGGAAAACACACACAGGAAGAUGGGUGGAUUGAGGACCAGCUGGAUGGACAGACAUGUUUUAAUUAACAAAGCCCGUUGGUGUUCAUUAUUUUGUUCAGUUUCAUUGGGACUUCUGUUUCCCCACUUCACUAACAUACAAACUGAGGCUCAGAGAGGUUUAUUCAAGGUCAAUCCCAUUAUCAGACGGGGAGCAUUAUACUAUAGUUAUACAUAGUCACAUACACAUACGCACUAAGGGCCAAAGCCCAGUCUAUAUCUUACAUGAUCCUCUCCCCAGCCCAAUGAGAUGGACGCUGUUGCCCUUACUUCACCAAAGAAUUAGUGACGUGCCCCUAAGAGGAAAACUGAGAUGCCAACAAAGAUUGGACCCAAGCUCAGAAUCUAUAUGAAAGAAUAAGUGCUUAAAAAAAAAAAGGCUUUCGGGGCUGGCCCUGUGGCCGAGUGGUUAAGUUCGCGCGCUCCGCUGCAGGCGGCCCAGUGUUUCGUUAGUUCGAAUCCUGGGCGCGGACAUGGCACUGCUCAUCAGACCACGCUGAGGCAGCG